GUUGAAUUUUGUCAAAGGCUUUUUCUGCAUCUAUUGAGAUAAUCAUGUGGUUUUUGUCUUUGGCUCUGUUUAUAUGCUGGAUUACAUUUAUUGAUUUGCGUAUAUUGAACCAGCCUUGCAUCCCAGGGAUGAAGCCCACUUGAUCAUGGUGGAUAAGCUUUUUGAUGUGCUGCUGGAUUCGGUUUGCCAGUAUUUUAUUGAGGAUUUUUGACAGUUUUGCUCUUGUUGUCCAGGCUGGAGUGCAAUGGCAUGAUCUUGGCUCACUGCAACCUCUGCCUCCCAGGUUCAAGCCAUUCUCCUGCCUCAGCCUCCCAAGUAGCUGGGAUUAUAGGCGCCCACCACCACACCCGGCUUAAUUUUUGUAUUUUUAGUAGACGGGGGUUUCACCAUGUUGGCCAGGCUGGUCUCAAACUCAUGACCUCAGGUGAUCCACCCACCUCGGCCUCCUGAAGUGCUGGGAUUACAGGCGUGAGCCACCGCACCCAGCCUACAGUUACCAUUUUAAGUGUAUACUUUCAUGCAUUUUCAAAAAUGUUCACACCUGUGAACCUAUUACCACAAACAAGAUUUAGUGUUUCUAUUACUCCAAAAAAGUUCCCUUAUGCACUUUGAUGUUAAACUAUCCCUACCUCUAAACCCUCAGGCAGCCACUCAUCUGCUAUAUGUUACUGUGGAUUGUCUGUUCUAAAAUUUCGUAUUAGCAGGCUCUCACAGUAUGUACUCUUUUGUACAGGGCUUCUUCCACUUAGCAUGUUUUUGAGAUUCAUCGAAGUUAUAUGUAUCAAUAGUUUUAUUCCUGAGUU
RNAcentral lists this long non-coding RNA (803 nucleotides) under Homo sapiens (human). RNAcentral's name for it is "HSALNT0221633". The record is from RNAcentral. Lineage: Eukaryota; Metazoa; Chordata; Mammalia; Primates; Hominidae.